Molecule: non-coding RNA, 32 nt
Filed under: Rattus norvegicus (Norway rat)
Lineage: Eukaryota; Metazoa; Chordata; Mammalia; Rodentia; Muridae
Source: RNAcentral
UUAAGCUGGUUGCCAUUAACCUGUGGAGGGAU